Macaca fascicularis (crab-eating macaque) is the source of this 124-nucleotide unclassified non-coding RNA. It matches the Rfam family "Metazoan signal recognition particle RNA". From Rfam's summary of the family: The signal recognition particle (SRP) is a universally conserved ribonucleoprotein. It is involved in the co-translational targeting of proteins to membranes. The record is from Ensembl. NCBI's taxonomy places the organism in Eukaryota, Metazoa, Chordata, Mammalia, Primates, Cercopithecidae.
GCCGGGCAUGGUGGCUCAUGCCUGUAAUCCCAGCACUUUGGGAGGCCGAGGCAGGUGGAUUACCUGAGGUCAGGACUUCGAGACCAGCCUGGAGCCUGGCCAACAUGGUGAAACCCUGUCUCUA